AGUGGCGUACGGGUGAGUAACACGUGACUAACCUACCUUCGAGUGGGGAAUAACCUCGGGAAACCGGGGCUAAUACCGCAUAACAUCUUCUGGCUGAGAUGCCGGUUGAGCAAAGCAGUAAUGCGCUUGAAGAGGGGGUCGCGGCUGAUUAGCUAGUUGGCAGGGUAACGGCCUACCAAGGCAAUGAUCAGUAGCCGGCCUGAGAGGGCGCACGGCCACACUGGAACUGAAACACGGUCCAGACUCCUACGGGAGGCAGCAGUGGGGAAUUUUGCGCAAUGGGGGAAACCCUGACGCAGCAACGCCGCGUGGAGGAUGAAGUCCCUUGGGACGUAAACUCCUUUCGAUCGGGACGAUAAUGACGGUACCGGAAGAAGAAGCCCCGGCUAACUUCGUGCCAGCAGCCGCGGUAAUACGAGGGGGGCAAGCGUUGUUCGGAAUUAUUGGGCGUAAAGGGUGCGUAGGCGGUGCGGUAAGUCUGUUGUGAAAUCUCCGGGCUCAACUCGGAGUCUGCAUCAGA
This 520-nucleotide ribosomal RNA is filed under the name uncultured bacterium. Its description in RNAcentral is "bacterial SSU rRNA". It matches the Rfam family "Bacterial small subunit ribosomal RNA", at positions 94 to 630 of the family's 1533-position model. The record is from RNAcentral.